AACGAACGCUGGCGGCAGGCCUAACACAUGCAAGUCGAGCGCCCCGCAAGAGGAGCGGCGGACGGGUGAGUAACGCGUGGGAACGUACCCUUUGCUACGGAAUAGCCUCGGGAAACUGGGAGUAAUACCGUAUGUGCCCUUCGGGGGAAAGAUUUAUCGGCAAAGGAUCGGCCCGCGUUGGAUUAGGUAGUUGGUGGGGUAAUGGCCUACCAAGCCGACGAUCCAUAGCUGGUUUGAGAGGAUGAUCAGCCACACUGGGACUGAGACACGGCCCAGACUCCUACGGGAGGCAGCAGUGGGGAAUCUUAGACAAUGGGCGCAAGCCUGAUCUAGCCAUGCCGCGUGAGCGAUGAAGGCCUUAGGGUUGUAAAGCUCUUUCAGUGGGGAAGAUAAUGACUGUACCCAC
Molecule: ribosomal RNA, 406 nt
Filed under: uncultured bacterium
Lineage: Bacteria
Description: bacterial SSU rRNA
Rfam family: Bacterial small subunit ribosomal RNA
Source: RNAcentral